RNAcentral lists this transfer RNA (76 nucleotides) under Oscillospiraceae bacterium. RNAcentral's name for it is "tRNA-Ala". It matches the Rfam family "tRNA". Rfam says of the family: Transfer RNA (tRNA) molecules are approximately 80 nucleotides in length. Their secondary structure includes four short double-helical elements and three loops (D, anti-codon, and T loops). Lineage: Bacteria; Bacillati; Bacillota; Clostridia; Eubacteriales; Oscillospiraceae. The record is from RNAcentral.
GGGGGUAUAGCUCAGCUGGGAGAGCGCUUGACUGGCAGUCAAGAGGUCAUCGGUUCGAUCCCGAUUAUCUCCACCA